UUAAGCGACUAAGCGUACACGGUGGAUGCCCUGGCAGUCAGAGGCGAUGAAGGACGUGCUAAUCUGCGAUAAGCGUCGGUAAGGUGAUAUGAACCGUUAUAACCGGCGAUUUCCGAAUGGGGAAACCCAGUGUGAUUCGUCACACUAUCAUUAACUGAAUCCAUAGGUUAAUGAGGCGAACCGGGGGAACUGAAACAUCUAAGUACCCCGAGGAAAAGAAAUCAACCGAGAUUCCCCCAGUAGCGGCGAGCGAACGGGGAGCAGCCCAGAGCCUGAAUCAGUGUGUGUGUUAGUGGAAGCGUCUGGAAAGGCGUGCGAUACAGGGUGACAGCCCCGUACACAAAAAUGCACAUACUGUGAGCUCGAUGAGUAGGGCGGGACACGUGGUAUCCUGUCUGAAUAUGGGGGGACCAUCCUCCAAGGCUAAAUACUCCUGACUGACCGAUAGUGAACCAGUACCGUGAGGGAAAGGCGAAAAGAACCCCGGCGAGGGGAGUGAAAAAGAACCUGAAACCGUGUACGUACAAGCAGUGGGAGCACGCUUAGGCGUGUGACUGCGUACCUUUUGUAUAAUGGGUCAGCGACUUAUAUUCUGUAGCAAGGUUAACCGAAUAGGGGAGCCGAAGGGAAACCGAGUCUUAACUGGGCGUUAAGUUGCAGGGUAUAGACCCGAAACCCGGUGAUCUAGCCAUGGGCAGGUUGAAGGUUGGGUAACACUAACUGGAGGACCGAACCGACUAAUGUUGAAAAAUUAGCGGAUGACUUGUGGCUGGGGGUGAAAGGCCAAUCAAACCGGGAGAUAGCUGGUUCUCCCCGAAAGCUAUUUAGGUAGCGCCUCGUGAAUUCAUCUCCGGGGGUAGAGCACUGUUUCGGCAAGGGGGUCAUCCCGACUUACCAACCCGAUGCAAACUGCGAAUACCGGAGAAUGUUAUCACGGGAGACACACGGCGGGUGCUAACGUCCGUCGUGAAGAGGGAAACAACCCAGACCGCCAGCUAAGGUCCCAAAGUCAUGGUUAAGUGGGAAACGAUGUGGGAAGGCCCAGACAGCCAGGAUGUUGGCUUAGAAGCAGCCAUCAUUUAAAGAAAGCGUAAUAGCUCACUGGUCGAGUCGGCCUGCGCGGAAGAUGUAACGGGGCUAAACCAUGCACCGAAGCUGCGGCAGCGACGCUUAUGCGUUGUUGGGUAGGGGAGCGUUCUGUAAGCCUGCGAAGGUGUGCUGUGAGGCAUGCUGGAGGUAUCAGAAGUGCGAAUGCUGACAUAAGUAACGAUAAAGCGGGUGAAAAGCCCGCUCGCCGGAAGACCAAGGGUUCCUGUCCAACGUUAAUCGGGGCAGGGUGAGUCGACCCCUAAGGCGAGGCCGAAAGGCGUAGUCGAUGGGAAACAGGUUAAUAUUCCUGUACUUGGUGUUACUGCGAAGGGGGGACGGAGAAGGCUAUGUUGGCCGGGCGACGGUUGUCCCGGUUUAAGCGUGUAGGCUGGUUUUCCAGGCAAAUCCGGAAAAUCAAGGCUGAGGCGUGAUGACGAGGCACUACGGUGCUGAAGCAACAAAUGCCCUGCUUCCAGGAAAAGCCUCUAAGCAUCAGGUAACAUCAAAUCGUACCCCAAACCGACACAGGUGGUCAGGUAGAGAAUACCAAGGCGCUUGAGAGAACUCGGGUGAAGGAACUAGGCAAAAUGGUGCCGUAACUUCGGGAGAAGGCACGCUGAUAUGUAGGUGAAGUCCCUCGCGGAUGGAGCUGAAAUCAGUCGAAGAUACCAGCUGGCUGCAACUGUUUAUUAAAAACACAGCACUGUGCAAACACGAAAGUGGACGUAUACGGUGUGACGCCUGCCCGGUGCCGGAAGGUUAAUUGAUGGGGUCAGCGCAAGCGAAGCUCUUGAUCGAAGCCCCGGUAAACGGCGGCCGUAACUAUAACGGUCCUAAGGUAGCGAAAUUCCUUGUCGGGUAAGUUCCGACCUGCACGAAUGGCGUAAUGAUGGCCAGGCUGUCUCCACCCGAGACUCAGUGAAAUUGAACUCGCUGUGAAGAUGCAGUGUACCCGCGGCAAGACGGAAAGACCCCGUGAACCUUUACUAUAGCUUGACACUGAACAUUGAGCCUUGAUGUGUAGGAUAGGUGGGAGGCUUUGAAGUGUGGACGCCAGUCUGCAUGGAGCCGACCUUGAAAUACCACCCUUUAAUGUUUGAUGUUCUAACGUUGACCCGUGAUCCGGGUUGCGGACAGUGUCUGGUGGGUAGUUUGACUGGGGCGGUCUCCUCCUAAAGAGUAACGGAGGAGCACGAAGGUUGGCUAAUCCUGGUCGGACAUCAGGAGGUUAGUGCAAUGGCAUAAGCCAGCUUGACUGCGAGCGUGACGGCGCGAGCAGGUGCGAAAGCAGGUCAUAGUGAUCCGGUGGUUCUGAAUGGAAGGGCCAUCGCUCAACGGAUAAAAGGUACUCCGGGGAUAACAGGCUGAUACCGCCCAAGAGUUCAUAUCGACGGCGGUGUUUGGCACCUCGAUGUCGGCUCAUCACAUCCUGGGGCUGAAGUAGGUCCCAAGGGUAUGGCUGUUCGCCAUUUAAAGUGGUACGCGAGCUGGGUUUAGAACGUCGUGAGACAGUUCGGUCCCUAUCUGCCGUGGGCGCUGGAGAACUGAGGGGGGCUGCUCCUAGUACGAGAGGACCGGAGUGGACGCAUCACUGGUGUUCGGGUUGUCAUGCCAAUGGCACUGCCCGGUAGCUAAAUGCGGAAGAGAUAAGUGCUGAAAGCAUCUAAGCACGAAACUUGCCCCGAGAUGAGUUCUCCCUGACUCCUUGAGAGUCCUGAAGGAACGUUGAAGACGACGACGUUGAUAGGCCGGGUGUGUAAGCGCAGCGAUGCGUUGAGCUAACCGGUACUAAUGAACCGUGAGGCUUAACCUU
This 2902-nucleotide ribosomal RNA is filed under the name Escherichia coli. RNAcentral's name for it is "bacterial LSU rRNA". It matches the Rfam family "Bacterial large subunit ribosomal RNA". The record is from RNAcentral. Lineage: Bacteria; Pseudomonadati; Pseudomonadota; Gammaproteobacteria; Enterobacterales; Enterobacteriaceae.